Molecule: long non-coding RNA, 608 nt
Organism: Apis cerana (Asiatic honeybee)
Lineage: Eukaryota; Metazoa; Arthropoda; Insecta; Hymenoptera; Apidae
Source: RefSeq, a predicted model, not a curated record
AGUCUCUACCCCUCUCCACGAGCUUCUUGUCGACGACCGCGGCACAACCACCACUCGGGGAACCCAACCGUGUGCCCUCUCUCGCACACACCCUCGAAUGAUUUUAUUUUCUUUCCACCUUACUUUUACCGCGUUCGCUCACUCUCCUCACUCAAGAAUCCCCGAGGAAAUUCGCGACCAAAACAUCCGAGACGAGGUACUCCCUGCAGCCAACAUGUCGUCUGCUAGGCCCACCAGCGCGGCGGCUCACCGCGCUUGAGAUGGAUCAGAUUCACUUCGGACUCGGGGGCCAACAAUCUGUCUUGUGAAGUGUUAAUGCAUUGACUCUAGCGCUAUCUGUAACAUCUAUUGGAACUAAAUCGUUAUACUGCGAUAUAUUCAUAUGUAACACACAUGUACAUUUCGAUGUUUUCAUGUACGUUUAGUUUUAUAGUAUGACAAGUGCGCUGUGAUCAAUCCAUUUAUGUGUGUAUAUAUAUUAUAUGUAAAUAUUCAUAUGUACUAAAUAAUAUAAUUACCGAUUAAAUUAUAAGUAUUCAAAUUUUAUAAUUUUUUUUUAUAGAAUUAAUAUCAAGAUAAAAAUAAAUGAAUAUAAUAUAAAUAUAAAA